UAACGUGCCUGGUCUAAUCGUGUUGUGUACGUGAGUGGCGUGUAACUAGUGAUACAGCACGCAAGGACAGUCAUUAACGUGCGCGAUCCGCCGCAAAUCAGCCACGAUGCAUUGCAACGGGCACGUUCAGUGGGCUGCGCGGACGUUGCGACGAGCUGCAUUGCUGAUUCUUCGCUUGCCUGAGACUCGCAAUUGUCGAGCGUGUUGCAUCCGUUGUUACGUUGCCCGAAGACCGCAGUAAAUGUGAUUUGCAGGGUGCAAGCAACGUGUCAUUGUGGUUAGAAAAAAUGAAUCAGUAUACAUGUGAUUUAACUGUCAAAGCCGGAAUGUUUAAAGCAUACAUCCCGCCCAAGGCAUGC
Long non-coding RNA from Rhipicephalus sanguineus (brown dog tick), 359 nucleotides. RefSeq lists it as uncharacterized. Lineage: Eukaryota; Metazoa; Arthropoda; Arachnida; Ixodida; Ixodidae. The record is from RefSeq and is a predicted model, not a curated record. The transcript has 3 exons.